UACGAAGGGGGCUAGCGUUGCUCGGAAUUACUAGGCGUAAAGGGAGCGUAGGCGGACAGUUUAGUCAGAGGUGAAAGCCCAGGGCUCAACCCUGGAAUUGCCUUUGAUACUGAUUGUCUUGAGUAUGGGAGAGGUGAGUGGAACUCCGAGUGUAGAGGUGAAAUUCGUAGAUAUUCGGAAGAACACCAGUGGCGAAGGCGACUCACUGGCCCAUUACUGACGCUGAGGCUCGAAAGCGUGGGGAGCAAACAGG
RNAcentral lists this ribosomal RNA (253 nucleotides) under uncultured bacterium. RNAcentral describes it as "partial 16S ribosomal RNA". It matches the Rfam family "Bacterial small subunit ribosomal RNA", at positions 524 to 776 of the family's 1533-position model. The record is from RNAcentral.